Molecule: ribosomal RNA, 253 nt
Filed under: uncultured bacterium
Lineage: Bacteria
Description: partial 16S ribosomal RNA
Rfam family: Bacterial small subunit ribosomal RNA
Source: RNAcentral
UACAGGGGGUGCAAACGUUGUCCGGAAUUAUUGGGCGGAAAGAGCUCGUAGGCGGUCUGUCACGUCGGCUGUGAAAUCCCGAGGCUCAACCUCGGGUCUGCAGUCGAUACGGGCAAACUAGAGUAUUGCAGGGGAGACUGGAAUUCCUGGUGUAGCGGUGAAAUGCGCAGAUAUCAGGAGGAACACCGGUGGCGAAGGCGGGUCUCUGGGCAGUAACUGACGCUGAGGAGCGAAAGCGUGGGGAGCGAACAGG